GUGCUCGCUUCAGCAGCACAUAUACUAAAAUUGGAAAGAUACAGAGAAGAUUAGCAUGGCCCCUGUGCAAGGAUGACAUGCAAAUUUGUGAAGUGUUCCAUAUUUUU
Molecule: small nuclear RNA, 107 nt
Filed under: Jaculus jaculus (lesser Egyptian jerboa)
Lineage: Eukaryota; Metazoa; Chordata; Mammalia; Rodentia; Dipodidae
Source: RNAcentral